RNAcentral lists this ribosomal RNA (1403 nucleotides) under uncultured bacterium. Its description in RNAcentral is "bacterial SSU rRNA". It matches the Rfam family "Bacterial small subunit ribosomal RNA". The record is from RNAcentral.
AGAGUUUGAUCCUGGCUCAGGAUGAACGCUAGCUACAGGCUUAACACAUGCAAGUCGAGGGGAAACGACAUCGAAAGCUUGCUUUUGAUGGGCGUCGACCGGCGCACGGGUGAGUAACGCGUAUCCAACCUGCCCAUCACUUGGGGAUAACCUUGCGAAAGUAAGACUAAUACCCAAUGAUAUCUCUAGAAGACAUCUGAAGGAGAUUAAAGAUUCAUCGGUGAUGGAUGGGGAUGCGUCUGAUUAGCUUGUUGGCGGGGUAACGGCCCACCAAGGCGACGAUCAGUAGGGGUUCUGAGAGGAAGGUCCCCCACAUUGGAACUGAGACACGGUCCAAACUCCUACGGGAGGCAGCAGUGAGGAAUAUUGGUCAAUGGGCGAGAGCCUGAACCAGCCAAGUAGCGUGCAGGAUGACGGCCCUAUGGGUUGUAAACUGCUUUUAUAAGGGAAUAAAGUGAGUCUCGUGAGACUUUUUGCAUGUACCUUAUGAAUAAGGACCGGCUAAUUCCGUGCCAGCAGCCGCGGUAAUACGGAAGGUCCGGGCGUUAUCCGGAUUUAUUGGGUUUAAAGGGAGCGUAGGCCGGAGAUUAAGCGUGUUGUGAAAUGUAGAUGCUCAACAUCUGCACUGCAGCGCGAACUGGUUUCCUUGAGUACGCACAAAGUGGGCGGAAUUCGUGGUGUAGCGGUGAAAUGCUUAGAUAUCACGAAGAACUCCGAUUGCGAAGGCAGCUCACUGGAGCGCAACUGACGCUGAAGCUCGAAAGUGCGGGUAUCGAACAGGAUUAGAUACCCUGGUAGUCCGCACGGUAAACGAUGGAUGCCCGCUGUUGGCCUGAAUAGGUCAGCGGCCAAGCGAAAGCAUUAAGCAUCCCACCUGGGGAGUACGCCGGCAACGGUGAAACUCAAAGGAAUUGACGGGGGCCCGCACAAGCGGAGGAACAUGUGGUUUAAUUCGAUGAUACGCGAGGAACCUUACCAGGCCUUGACAUCCCGGUGACCGUCCCGUAAUGGGGACCUCUCUUCGGAGCACCGGUGACAGGUGGUGCAUGGUUGUCGUCAGCUCGUGUCGUGAGAUGUUGGGUUAAGUCCCGCAACGAGCGCAACCCCUAUGUUCAGUAGCCAGCAGGUAAAGCUGGGCACUCUGGACAGACUGCCGGGGAUAACCCGGAGGAAGGCGGGGAUGACGUCAAAUUAUCAUGCCCCUUACGGCCUGGGCUACACACGUGCUACAAUGGCGUAAACAAAGGGAAGCGAGAGGGUGACCUGGAGCGAAUCCCAAAAAUAACGUCCCAGUUCGGACUGUAGUCUGCAACCCGACUACACGAAGCUGGAAUCGCUAGUAAUCGCAGAUCAGAAUGCUGCGGUGAAUACGUUCCCGGGUCUUGCACACACCGCCCGUCAAG